AGUGCAGUUGCUGGUUGAAUUAGAUGUAGGUUUAGUUUUUAAAGAAUCCAUCAACAUAUUUUCUAGAGUGGCUGUAUUAUUUUAUAUUCCCACCAGCAAU
This 100-nucleotide microRNA precursor is filed under the name Marmota monax (woodchuck). Lineage: Eukaryota; Metazoa; Chordata; Mammalia; Rodentia; Sciuridae. The record is from RNAcentral.